RNAcentral lists this long non-coding RNA (545 nucleotides) under Monodelphis domestica (gray short-tailed opossum). Its description in RNAcentral is "lncRNA (ENSMODG00000041392.1)". Lineage: Eukaryota; Metazoa; Chordata; Mammalia; Didelphimorphia; Didelphidae. The record is from RNAcentral.
AUAUUCAGUGAAGGUCUUAACAAAAGGCAUCAAUUCCCCAGGCUGCACUUGAAGACACUUAGAGGAGUAAACAUCUUUGUGAGGAACACUUGGAUGACUUCCUGUGUAAGAUAAGGAACAAAAAAGUGUUCAGUGUCACUAUUUGCUGUUAAACACAUGUGCCCACAUUUUCCUUCUUCCCCCACCACUAGUCAAGAAAACACUAACAAGCUAGGAGUUCAUUUUACAGAUGAGGAAACUGAGGCAAACAAAAUUAAGCAACUUGCCCAGCAUCACACAGUUAGCAAGUGUUUGAGGCCAGAUUUGAACUCAAGAAGAUGAGAGAACCUGGCACUGAAUGAAGAACUAUGAUCAUAGCCCAGAAGGCUUUGGAGUCCAGAAGGCCUGGGACUUAGUCUCUGACACAUCCUGGUAAUAUGAUUCUAGGCAGGUUACUUAACUUCUCAAAGCCUGAGGCAACUUUCUGAGACUACAAUUCUCCCCCUCUGCGUCAGUGAAAUCACAUGCCUGUUGGAAAGAGAAAAAUAAAACUAAACCAAAGCUCA